Molecule: long non-coding RNA, 340 nt
Organism: Oncorhynchus tshawytscha (Chinook salmon)
Lineage: Eukaryota; Metazoa; Chordata; Actinopteri; Salmoniformes; Salmonidae
Source: Ensembl
GGAGGAGACAGGUUAAAGAUGAAGGGGAGGAGACAGGUUAAAGAUGAAGGGGAGAAGACCUGGUUAAAGAUGAAGGGGAGGAGACAGGUUAAAGAUGAAGGGGAGGAGACCUGGUUAAAUAUGAAGGGGAGGAGACAGGUUAAAGAUGAAGGGGAGGAGACAGGUUAAAGAUGAAGGGGAGGAGACAGGUUAAAAAUGAAGGGGAGGAGACAGGUUAAAGAUGAAGGGGAGGAGACAGGUUAAAGAUGAAGGGGAGGAGACAGGUUAAAGAUGAAGGGGAGGAGACCUGGUUAAAGAUGAAGGGGAGGAGACCUGGUUAAAUAUGAAGGGGAGGAGACAG